AGUGAACGCUGGCGGUAGGCCUAACACAUGCAAGUCGAACGGCAGCACAGUAAGAGCUUGCUCUUACGGGUGGCGAGUGGCGGACGGGUGAGGAAUACAUCGGAAUCUACUUUUUCGUGGGGGAUAACGUAGGGAAACUUACGCUAAUACCGCAUACGACCUACGGGUGAAAGCAGGGGAUCUUCGGACCUUGCGCGAUUGAAUGAGCCGAUGUCGGAUUAGCUAGUUGGCGGGGUAAAGGCCCACCAAGGCGACGAUCCGUAGCUGGUCUGAGAGGAUGAUCAGCCACACUGGCUCUGAGACACGGUCCAGACUUCUACGGGAGGCAGCAGUGGGGAAUAUUGGACGAUGGGCGCAAGCCUGAUCCAGCCAUACCGCGUGGGUGAAGAAGGCCUUCGGGUUGUAAAGCCCUUUUGUUGGGAAAGAAAAGCAGCAGGUUAAUCCCCCGCUGUUCUGACGGUACCCAAAGAAUAAGCACCGGCUAACUUCGUG
This 492-nucleotide ribosomal RNA is filed under the name uncultured bacterium. Its description in RNAcentral is "partial 16S ribosomal RNA". It matches the Rfam family "Bacterial small subunit ribosomal RNA", at positions 29 to 507 of the family's 1533-position model. The record is from RNAcentral.